GCUAAACGCGAAGAACCUUACCUGGCCUUGACAUGUCCGGAAUUCUGCAGAGAUGCGGAAGUGCCGUUCGGGAAUCGGAACACAGGUGCUGCAUGGCUGUCGUCAGCUCGUGUCGUGAGAUGUUGGGUUAACGUCCCGCAACGAGCGCCAACCCUUCGUCCUUAGUUCGCCAGCGAGUAAUGUCGGGAACUCUAAGGAGACUGCCGGUGACAACCGGAGGAAGGUGGGGAUGACGUCAAGUCCUCAUGGCCCUUACGGCCAGGGCUACACACGUACUACAAUGGUCGGUACAGAGGGUUGCCAAACCGCAAGGUGGAGCCAAUCCCAGAAAGCCGAUCCCAGUCCGGAUCGGAGUCUGCAACUCGACUCCGUGAAGUCGGAAUCGCUAGUAAUCGCGGAUCAGCUAUGCCGCGGUGAAUACGUUCCCGGGUCUUGUACACACCG
RNAcentral lists this ribosomal RNA (444 nucleotides) under uncultured bacterium. RNAcentral's name for it is "bacterial SSU rRNA". It matches the Rfam family "Bacterial small subunit ribosomal RNA", at positions 954 to 1392 of the family's 1533-position model. The record is from RNAcentral.